CGCUGCUCCUUCCACAGCUUCAUCUGGUCGCUGGCGGGAUCCCGGCUGUCCGCCAUGCUGAGGGACGCGAGCGGCGGAGCACGGCCCGGAGCGCACGGUCUCCACCCUCGGAGAGCGGAGGCUCCAGCGGCCGGCCGGAGUAGGGGACUUCAGGCUCCGCCAAUCAGCGCCGCCCCCCGCCCCCUCGGGAUCUCAGCCUUCUGAUUGGUCCCUGGGAUUUCAGAAGGGACAGGAUUGGGUGGCCUCUCGGACCGCGUCUCCUGAUUGGUCGCUUGGAUUCCAAGAGGAACGGGACUGGAAGCCCGGUGGGGCGAAAAGCAGAGGGUGGGCGGAGACUGGGAGGAAGCAGGGCGCCUCGGUGACAUCCCCCCACCCCACUCCCGGUGAAGGGUGCUCUCUGAACUCUAUCACAAGUUUAGGGUUCAGUUCCUCUUGGUGAAUUUAUCGUCCCCUAAUGCAAGCAUUGGCCUAAGGAAGGAUGGCUGAGGAUGGAGGUACCAAGCCACAGGAGCAGUGACAGAAGCCAAGAUAAUUAUUUACUUAUGUUUGGAGUCCACCCAGUCUCUAACAAACUGAGAAUCUUCACAUAUUUCUCUUCUGUUCUCUUCACUGUGGCCUUAUGAAGUCAACAUGGACAAGUGGAGGAGGAGAAGCGCACAGGAAGAGAUGUAUUACAAUUCACAGUGGGCCUCUGGCUGUAAGGGGUGGAGUGAACACACUGCACCUCGGGGGUCCCAGCUCGCCGCAGACCAGGUCUGAAUGUGCAGAAGACAAAGAUUCGUGAUCUAAGUGGCAUGUGGCCUCUGCUCUGCCUAUAUUGCUUUACCACCACAAAUCUGUUUCCAUAACUCAGAGACAGCCCAGAGGUCCCUUGGUAUCUGGUUAUGGCCAUAGUUCCUGAGGGGAAGUUCUUAUGCUCUUUCUCUACUGCAUAUGUUCCACGCUACUAAUCUUAGUGUUGGAGAAAAGAAGAAAAACAAGACCUGAAGUUGGGUUUUGCUCUUACUUCUUUUUUCUGAACUUAAAAAUAAUGUAUAUUUGCUAAUAGCGGCUUGAAAAUGCAGACAAGUAUGUCAAAGAAGCAACUAUUCAUAGAUGCUAAUAAAUAACUAUCUUUAUACCAA
Jaculus jaculus (lesser Egyptian jerboa) is the source of this 1124-nucleotide long non-coding RNA. RefSeq lists it as uncharacterized. The transcript is spliced from 2 exons. NCBI's taxonomy places the organism in Eukaryota, Metazoa, Chordata, Mammalia, Rodentia, Dipodidae. The record is from RefSeq and is a predicted model, not a curated record.